Molecule: ribosomal RNA, 119 nt
Filed under: Pteropus alecto (black flying fox)
Lineage: Eukaryota; Metazoa; Chordata; Mammalia; Chiroptera; Pteropodidae
Source: RNAcentral
GUCUAUGGCCAUGCUACCCUGAACAAGCCUGAUCUCGUCUGAUCUCGGAAGCUAAGCAGGGUUGGGCCUGGUUAGUACUUGGAUGGGAGACCACCUAGGAAGACCAGGUGCUGUAGGCA